CAUUCAUCUCGUUUCUUUUUCUUCUCGAUCUCUCUUCUCAUUUGUCUCUUCCCCAGCGAAAUCUUUUCUUUCUUCAUCUUCAUCAUUAUAGAUAGAUAGUAUAGAUACAUUUCUCACUCUAUAUUUCGAGUAAUCUAUACUUAGUUUAAUCUAUACCCAGUUUCGAAUUUAGAGUACAGGGUUUUGAUUUGAUUGAAUAUUCAAUCAUCUAACCUGUAAUCCUAAAUUCGAUAAUUGGGUUUUGAUUUGAUAGAAACAUCAACCCCUCCCUUAAUUUAAUUGAUUCAAUUCUGUUGAGUUGUAAGUGAAUUAGUGUUUAUUGGGUUUUAGUGCGACCCCAUUUUUUUCUCUAACCUUACGAAGAAGAAUUUGAGUUAAGAAUUAACGGCGCAUAUGAUAAUUAUCAACCAUUUUUCGAGUUUAUAUUUCAUGCCUGAUCCUGUAAAUUUAGUUUUUGGAUGUAGUGGGUGUUCUCGCAUCUCUACCAAGUCUACAGUAAAUUAAGCAAGCCAACGGUCACCAGCAGAUAACUUUGAGGUACAUUGCUUUGUAUUUUUUCACUUAAUUUAGAAAUACUUGCAUUUUGAUUUUAAGUUUUAGAGACCCAAAAAAAUGUAUAUAGACAAUAGUUUGCUUAUAGAAGUUUGCUUGCUAUAUUGAAUUAUUCAAUUCAUUGUCAUAUUUACUGUGUAUUUUCUAUGCUAUACCGUCGCGGGCUCAUUGUAAUAUUUUGUCUAAUGUCUAUGGCUGCCAUUACUUUUCUCAUCUGAUGUAGGCUUUCACAAAAUAAUGCUGUAGAACUGUAUGAACAUGAGUGUUUAUGGCACGUAUUUGGCAGGUUGUAUAAGUUAGUUUUUACAUUGUGUCUCAACUGUGUAUGCUUGCAUUGUUCUUUGAGAUAGUUGUUUUACAAAAUCAUUGUACAGCAUGAUCAGUGCAUAAAAAUGCAGAGCCUCAAGUUUGACUAAUCGGAUGUUUUUGCUUUUCUUACUCAAGUUUUUCCUCACAGGGCAGGAUACUAGCCUUAGUUGUUAUAAAAAUGCAGGGAAAGGGGUAAGGAUACAUUUGUGCUAAGAGUUUAUCAUUAGUGUUUUUGUUAAGUUAAAUAAUUGACAAAUAGUGAUGGUUGAAAUGAUUUGUUCUCUUUAUCAUUCCUUUAUCCAGUUCGAUUGACAAUGUUCCACUACACUAUUCAUAUCAUAUGUAGAACCAGGUUUAGCUAUCAGGAUUCAUAAUUUAAAGCAUCAAAUUAAAGUUGACCGAUUUUGAUUUUUCAAUUGCAUGGGGUGGUGAAUGAAAUUGAACUGCUGUCUGGGUAAGAUGUAGUUUAUGGCGCUUCUUAUCCUGCCAUCUGCGGGAUCUGCGGGGGUUCCUUGCCAUAACCCUCCUUGUUCCCUGAAAUUUUCUCUAGAGAAAUAUAAUGUUCCUACGCCGAUAUGAAUUACCAUAUGAUUGAUACCAUAUCAUUUGAUCUCAGACUUGAGAGGAAAGACAUUUCAGUAAUGGAAUCAAGGUUUACUAUGAUACUCUUAAAAUGUUUCAUGCGCUGGCAUAAAAAUGAUAGCCACCAUAUUUGAAAGCUAGAAGAAGCAUGAAAGGAAAGAAAAGAUUUCAUUUCAAUUAGUAUGGAAGGGUAAAGAUACCCACGGACAUCAAAAUGAUCAAAGAGAGGAUUUGCACAUGCUUUCCUCAUUUUAUUAAAGAUACUGCAUUCCAGUCUCCAUAUAUGAUGGAUAAUUAAGAUAUUUGGCGUAGGUGUGUAUGUAUAAGCUGUCUGUGAACCCAAUCGAAUGUAAUUCACCUACCUGUCAAUAUUUAAAAAUCUUUUGAUUGACAGAUAAAUAAUCAAGUAUUCGAAAAUUGAAGUUUA
Molecule: long non-coding RNA, 1870 nt
Organism: Papaver somniferum (opium poppy)
Lineage: Eukaryota; Viridiplantae; Streptophyta; Magnoliopsida; Ranunculales; Papaveraceae
Exons: 3
Source: RefSeq, a predicted model, not a curated record